RNAcentral lists this ribosomal RNA (995 nucleotides) under uncultured bacterium. RNAcentral describes it as "bacterial SSU rRNA". It matches the Rfam family "Bacterial small subunit ribosomal RNA", at positions 8 to 1010 of the family's 1533-position model. The record is from RNAcentral.
AGAGUUUGAUCCUGGCUCAGAAUCAACGCUGGCGGCGUGCCUAACACAUGCAAGUCGAGCGAGAAAGGGGCUUCGGCCCUGAGUAAAGCGGCGCACGGGUGAGUAACACGUGGGUAAUCUGCCCUAGAGUGGGGAAUAACACCGGGAAACCGGUGCUAAUACCGCAUACGAUCGCGAUGUCUUCGGAUGUUGUGAUGAAAGGAGCAAUUCGCUCUUGGAGGAGCCCGCGGCCGAUUAGCUAGUUGGUGAGGUAAUGGCUCACCAAGGCUGCGAUCAGUAGCCGGUCUGAGAGGACGGUCGGCCACACUGGAACUGAGACACGGUCCAGACCCCUACGGGAGGCAGCAGUGGGGAAUUUUUCGCAAUGGGGGCAACCCUGACGAAGCAACGCCGCGUGGGUGAUGAAGUCUCUUGGGACGUAAAACCCUUUCGACGGGGAAGAAACCGCAAGGUUGACGGUACCCGUAGAAGAAGCCCCGGCUAACUCCGUGCCAGCAGCCGCGGUAAUACGGGGGGGGCAAGCGUUGUUCGGAAUUACUGGGCGUAAAGGGCGCGUAGGCGGUCCGCUAAGUUGAAUGUGAAAACUCUGGGCUUAACCCAGAGCCUGCAUUCAAUACUGGCGGGCUAGAGUUCUGGAGGGGAUAGCGGAAUUCCUGGUGUAGCGGUGAAAUGCGUAGAUAUCAGGAGGAACACCGGUGGCGAAGGCGGCUAUCUGGACAGAGUCUGACGCUGAGGCGCGAAAGCUAGGGGAGCAAACAGGAUUAGAUACCCUGGUAGUCCUAGCCCUAAACGAUGGAUACUUGCUGUGACUGGGAUUGAAUCCAGUCGUGGCGAAGCUAACGCAUUAAGUAUCCCGCCUGGGGAGUACGGUCGCAAGGCUGAAACUCAAGGAAUUGACGGGGGCCCGCACAAGCGGUGGAGUAUGUGGUUUAAUUCGACGCAACGCGAAGAACCUUACCUGGGCUCGAACGGCUGGUGACAGGGGUGGAAACAUC